RNAcentral lists this ribosomal RNA (439 nucleotides) under uncultured bacterium. RNAcentral's name for it is "bacterial SSU rRNA". It matches the Rfam family "Bacterial small subunit ribosomal RNA", at positions 338 to 795 of the family's 1533-position model. The record is from RNAcentral.
CCUACGGGGGGCUGCAGUGGGGAAUAUUGCACAAUGGGGGAAACCCUGAUGCAGCAACGCCGCGUGAGUGAUGAAGGCCUUAGGGUUGUAAAGCUCUUUUGUCCGGGACGAUAAUGACGGUACCGGAAGAAUAAGCCCCGGCUAACUUCGUGCCAGCAGCCGCGGUAAUACGAAGGGGGCUAGCGUUAUCCGGAAUUACUGGGCGUAAAGGGUGCGUAGGCGGCCCUUCAAGUCAGAGGUGAAAGGCUACGGCUCAACCGUGGUAAGCCUUUGAAACUGUAGGGCUUGAGUGCAGGAGAGGAGAGUGGAAUUCCCAGUGUAGCGGUGAAAUGCGUAGAUAUUGGGAGGAACACCAGUUGCGAAGGCGGCUCUCUGGACUGUAACUGACGCUGAGGCACGAAAGCGUGGGGAGCGAACAGGAUUAGAUACCCCUGUAGUC